GCUGCUUGCUUCAGCAGAACAUAUAAUUGGAAUGAUACAGAGAAGAUUAGCAUGGCCCCUGCGCGAGGAUGACGCAUGAAUUGCUGAAGCAUUCCUUUUUCUU
Molecule: small nuclear RNA, 103 nt
Organism: Psammomys obesus (fat sand rat)
Lineage: Eukaryota; Metazoa; Chordata; Mammalia; Rodentia; Muridae
Source: RefSeq, a predicted model, not a curated record